UCCUUCAGUCUUUCUCCAAGUCCUCCAU
RNAcentral lists this unclassified non-coding RNA (28 nucleotides) under Mus musculus (house mouse). Its description in RNAcentral is "oocyte_clustered_small_RNA780". The record is from RNAcentral. Lineage: Eukaryota; Metazoa; Chordata; Mammalia; Rodentia; Muridae.